RNAcentral lists this ribosomal RNA (252 nucleotides) under uncultured bacterium. RNAcentral describes it as "partial 16S ribosomal RNA". It matches the Rfam family "Bacterial small subunit ribosomal RNA", at positions 524 to 776 of the family's 1533-position model. The record is from RNAcentral.
UACAGGGGGGGCAAGCGUUGUUCGGAAUUACUGGGCGUAAAGGGCCAGUAGGCGGCCAACUAAGUCACACGUGAAAUCCCCAGCUUAACCUGGGAACUGCGUGUGAUACUGGAUGGCUUGAAUUCGGGAGAGGGAUGCAGAAUUCCAGGUGUAGCGGUGAAAUGCGUAGAUAUCUGGAGGAAUACCGGUGGCGAAGGCGGCAUCCUGGACCGACAUUGACGCUGAACGGCGAAAGCUAGGGGAGCAAACGGG